AGAGUUUGAUCAUGGCUCAGAACGAACGCUGGCGGCGUGGAUAAGACAUGCAAGUCGAGCGCCGAUUUCAGGGUAGCAAUAUUCUGUGGUCGGAGCGGCGCAAGGGUGCGUAACACGUGGGUAAUCUGCCAUGAAGUUUGGGAUAACUUGCUGAAAGGCGAGCUAAUACCGGAUGUGACCGUUGGGAGGCAUCUCCUGACGUUCAAAGCUGGGGACCGUAAGGCCUGGCGCUUCAUGAUGAGCCCGCGGCCUAUCAGCUAGUUGGUGAGGUAACGGCUCACCAAGGCUAAGACGGGUAGCUGGUCUGAGAGGACGACCAGCCACACUGGAACUGAGACACGGUCCAGACACCUACGGGUGGCAGCAGUCGAGAAUUUUUCACAAUGGGCGCAAGCCUGAUGGAGCGACGCCGCGUGGGGGAUGAAUGGCUUCGGCCCGUAAACCCCUGUCAUUCGCGAUCAAACCUUAUUAUUUAAAAGAUGAUAAGCUGAUAGUAGCGGAAGAGGAAGGGACGGCUAACUCUGUGCCAGCAGCCGCGGUAAUACAGAGGUCCCAAGCGUUGUUCGGAUUCACUGGGCGUAAAGGGUGCGUAGGUGGUGAGGUAAGUCGGAUGUGAAAGCUCGGAGCUCAACUCCGAAAUGGCAUUGGAAACUACCUUGCUCGAGGAAUGGAGGGGGGACUGGAAUUCUCGGUGUAGCAGUGAAAUGCGUAGAUAUCGAGAGGAACACCAGUGGCGAAGGCGAGUCCCUGGACAUCUCCUGACACUGAGGCACGAAAGCUAGGGGAGCAAACAGGAUUAGAUACCCUAGUAGUCC
This 815-nucleotide ribosomal RNA is filed under the name uncultured bacterium. RNAcentral's name for it is "bacterial SSU rRNA". It matches the Rfam family "Bacterial small subunit ribosomal RNA", at positions 8 to 796 of the family's 1533-position model. The record is from RNAcentral.